This is a long non-coding RNA of Thamnophis elegans (Western terrestrial garter snake), 399 nucleotides long. RefSeq lists it as uncharacterized. Lineage: Eukaryota; Metazoa; Chordata; Lepidosauria; Squamata; Natricidae. The transcript has 2 exons. The record is from RefSeq and is a predicted model, not a curated record.
AGCGGGGCUUCGGAGGAAGGAGGGGCUGGGAAACGGAGCGCCUUCACUUUCGGAACCAGAGAGCUGACGGAAGGAGCGGUUCCCUUCGGAGGCGGAGAAACCGGAAGAGGACGGAGGAGCCCGGCGGGGGAGGGAAGGAAGGAAGCGCCGCCCGAGAGGAGGAGAGCGGGCCCCGCGGAGCAGCCCCGGGAGACGGCAGGGAAAGGCCGGGGUCCUCCGGAGCUGCAGGAGGGAUGAGCCCAGGGGGAGCCCGGGAAAGGCGGCUGUCUGGAGGGCGAUGCGGGGAGGAGGAAACGGGGGGAGACGCCGAGACGGGCCUGGAGGGCGGAGGGUCCUUCGGAAGACCCCGGAAUCCCCAAAGGAUCCAGGAGGAAGAAGAGAGAUAUCAGUGCCCGGAAU